This 80-nucleotide ribosomal RNA is filed under the name Escherichia coli. Its description in RNAcentral is "partial 23S ribosomal RNA". The record is from RNAcentral. Lineage: Bacteria; Pseudomonadati; Pseudomonadota; Gammaproteobacteria; Enterobacterales; Enterobacteriaceae.
GUGUAAGCGCAGCGAUGCGUUGAGCUAACCGGUACUAAUGAACCGUGAGGCUUAACCUUACAACGCCGAAGGUGUUUUAG